Molecule: ribosomal RNA, 251 nt
Filed under: uncultured bacterium
Lineage: Bacteria
Description: partial 16S ribosomal RNA
Rfam family: Bacterial small subunit ribosomal RNA
Source: RNAcentral
UACGGAAGGUCCGGGCGUUAUCCGGAUUUAUUGGGCGUAAAGCGAGUGCAGGCGGUUCAAUAAGUCUGAUGUGAAAGCCUUCGGCUCAACCGGAGAAUUGCAUCAGAAACUGUUGAACUUGAGUGCAGAAGAGGAGAGUGGAACUCCAUGUGUAGCGGUGGAAUGCGUAGAUAUAUGGAAGAACACCAGUGGCGAAGGCGGCUCUCUGGUCUGCAACUGACGCUGAGGCUCGAAAGCAUGGGUAGCGAACA